RNAcentral lists this long non-coding RNA (3323 nucleotides) under Sus scrofa (pig). RNAcentral describes it as "lncRNA (ENSSSCG00050006680.1)". The record is from RNAcentral. Lineage: Eukaryota; Metazoa; Chordata; Mammalia; Artiodactyla; Suidae.
GGCUUUCUCCUGAGCCGUCGGAGGGAGCCGGAGCGCUCCUCUUGAGUUGGUGAUCGACCAUUUGUGGUCCAGCAUGCACAAGUGAGUGGUGAAAGGCUGCAGAGCUGAUGGGUCGUGAGGAUGUAAGUGCGUUUGAAGGCUCUCACACUCUCUACUCCAGGGUAAGUUACAGGCCUUCUCUGCCAUUGUUGCUCUGGUUUUACUCUUAUCUUAAUGGUCUUUUGGAGUCCAUGCAAUUUGUGUGCCCUGUCUGAAAGUUCCCAAAGCCUUUAAUGAUUCAGCUCAUAGAUGCUAUUCAGAUUAGUACUUACAAAGAUAAAACCGUGGUCAGGGUAAUGGGAAGGAAUCAGUAUGUGGAAAUAUCUCAACACAAUAAUUUCACUUAGUGACUUUGUAUGAGAUGUGAUUUACAUGGGGGCUGUGGGGAGGAUGUUGGACCUUCCUGAGAUACACUGCAGAGCAUCCUCUCUCUCAGCACCCUCCCCCUCCAUGGAUCACUUUGCAUAACUUUUCCUGCAUUAAUUACCUUUUUUUCAGGUGUUGGGGGGGGGAACAGCUUGCCAGAGAGUUGAUGAUUCCCAGUUUCACAGAUGAUAUAGCUAAGUACUAGCAAAGUUUUGCCCAGUGUCACUGGGAGUCACUUGUACCCGCUCCCCCACCUCUCUGCAGUCCCUAGUGCAAUGGUGGUGGGCACUGGGAGUAUUUUAAUGAAAGCUGGCUUUAUUUAUUUAUUUUUAUUUUAAAAAGUUUUUUUAGGGCCGUUCCUGAGGCAUAUGGAAGUUCCCAGGCUAGGAAUGAAUCUGAGCUGCAGCUGCCAGCCUGUACCACAGCCACAGCAACGCUAUAUCCAAGCCGUGGCGGUGUCUUACACCACAGCUCUUGGCAAGACUGGAAGGCUGGACCCUUAACCCACUGAGCAGGGUCAAGUAUUAAACCCAUAUCCUCAUAGGUAAUAGUCGGGUUUGUUAUUGCUAAGUCACAAUGGGAACUCCACCAAAGUUGGCUUUAGAUUUUAAUUUCUUCUAGAGCUUAAACUAAAACCAGAUUCAUUGAAGAGAAAAUUAUAAUUAAUAAAAAUCUAAGCAGAGCUAAGGAUGGUUAGAAAAGAGGGAAAAAGGAAGUUAUUUUUUAAAAAAGUACUCACCUGAAAAACUGGAUAGAUGGUUGUUUUAAGCAUUUCAGUUCAAUAGUGUGGAGCCCUUGCUAGAUAAUGUCCCAUUACCCAGGCUCAGACAGAGGGCACCCAGAAAGGCUGAUGUUCUUCAAUGCCUCAUAUGGAUCAGUAAGGAGCGAGUACAAUUUACUAAAUGAAAUAGACAAUUAAGGGCUAUAAAUCUCUGGAGAUUCCCGUAAGCAUACAUUGUUACUGCAUUGGGGGGAUGCACGUGCUUAGAGAUAAGCAAAGCAGAGGCAGUAGCUGCAAGGCUUGUCACAAAAUGAAGAGUCCAGGGGAACAGCCAGAUGCAGACCCCUGCCUAGUGCCUGGGGGUCACUAAGGAAAGGAUUUGGUCUUUGCUAAGCUUUCUCCUUAAAGGAAGGGAGCUAGAUGUUGCCAGCUUUCCUCAUUUUCUUCUGUGGCUCCCAUUUAUUUUCUAUUCUAAAAGUAACUAAAAAGUAUAACAUGCCAGAAAUAGCACUCAACUGGCAUGUUUCUGUUUAAAUACCAUUCAAUGAUCAAAUUAUAGAGGAACCCAUUCUUUAACUAGUGAUUAGAGGGCAAAGAAAGUAAUGCUAGAGAUGCCAGAGGAUCAGGGAUCCUUAUCCUCAGCACCAUUAACAUGCCAAGCCUGGUGAUUCUUUAUUGUGGGCUGUUCACACAUUGUAGCACAUCUUUGGCCUCUACCAGCUAGAUACUCCCCUUCCCCCACCCCAGAAUCGUGAUAAUCAAAAUGUCUCCAGAUACUGCCACUUGUUCCCUGGCCGGUGGGGGGCGGAAUUCUGGUUGAGAAGCACUGCUGGUGGCAUACAGUGAUUUAAUCUUGCUCUGAAUUUCUCUGGGACUGUUUCAAUCAUUAGCCUCCUUUUGCUACAAUUUCUCUACCUGUAAAAUAGACACAGCAUUUGUAACUCAGUAGCCUAAGGAGGUACAUAGUAUUGUGUGACUAUUUGGGAGCUCAUAAUGCCAAUACCUAUAUCCUAGUCUUGUGAAGACAGAGGCUGAGGAGCAGGGGAGUUGGAAGGGUGUGAGAAAUGCGGAAUGGUGUUGGAUUCUGAUUUUACUAGAAGGCUUCCAAUUCUAGUUCAUUUCAACAAUAUACUCUUGAACGAAGGCUUGUGGGGGAGGAUUAAGAAAGGGGACAAUAAAGGAGGGAAAAAGAGGCUAUUUAGAAGAGCAGUCAAGGAGAUUGCUUUUGAUCUGGAGGUGGGGGGUGAUCUCUUAUCGUUAAAGUGAUUUAUGUGUAAUUAGACCAAAGGACAUAAAGAAGUAACCCCCUUGCUCCAAAGAAAAAUAUUCUCCCGAAUGACUACUGAUCCUAGAACAGAUUUUUCAGGUAAUACAACAAAGACUGGAGAGUGUUGGAGAAAUCUGUUUUUAUUCUAGAACAUUUACAUUUCUGCUGCUUCUCUUCUUUGGCUUAUCAAAAAAGGUCAUCUUCAAUCCAUGCCCUUUGAUACAUACAAUGUUUGAGUAUGACACAUGCUCUUCUGAUACUCUUCUAGAACUCUGUAUUGGAAUGCUGAAAAAGGCCUAUCACCCUGACCCAGGCCUGAGGUGAUCACACUAUUUUACUAAGGCAGGGCAAGUGCAGGGAUUAGAUGUAAAUUGUCUUGGUAGGUUUGAAUUCAGCCUUGCUGUGUUUCUGGUCCCUGUAAUUAUUAGACAUACUCACAAAAUUUACAACAAUGCUACCUUGUUGACGCAGACUCAGUGGGUCCAACAUCAGAGGAAAUUCUGUUGGACAGCACUGCUUUAGUCUGUCAGGACCCUGUUUGUUAGAAACCCACCCUUGGAGUGCCAGCAUGUGUUUGUUAUGAAAAGACCUCACCUCAUUUAAAGCAGGAUUGUGUUUUGGACUUCUCCAUCCUAGGGGGCUUUUCAGUCUGUGAGUGGAUCUUGCUGAACUUUUUACCUUGCUGCGGCAUCUGUCUGUUAAAGAAAUUGCCAUGGGCCUGUGUUUCUGACAUAACUGAGUUCACUGUCUCUAAAAUAUUUGCUCUUUAAUCCAAGGCUGCUGAACCGUCUCUUUCCAUUUGGUCUCUCCAUGCCCUAACCCUCAGUGGCAAAGCUUGUUUGUGCAGGAUGUCUCUUUUGAUACUGCCUAGAGCUUCAGCGUCUGGGAGAGGUGGUGAGAGAGUUUUCACCUCCUCUUCUUUCAAGCCCC